UAGUGGAGAUAAAUUACCAACUUUAAAAAUCUAAACUCAUGUUCACUAAACAAAAAUAAAUUUAGUUUUAGAACAUUGCCUGUUAUGGCAAAGUACUAUAAAUAGUGCAUGGUCAACUUUUCUCAACUCAUUUCUAUAAAACAUUUGAUUAAAAAUAAGAUGAGGAACUUAUUUAGUAUUUAAGGAAAGAAUCCAACAUCUUUCCUAGUACAGAAUUUAACUCAGAAUAUUUAAGCAAAAGCCUAAACCUUUAAAAGUACAAUUUCAAAAAAGUUCCUAAGGUAGAUUUGCUUCAAAAUUUUAGUGCAUUUCGAAGUACUUGUAGCUUCACACAUGGACACCUUUGGAAGACCAACUGUGCUCUUUAUAUUAUUGGAAAAUCGGGGGUUUUUCCUUCUUGUCUGUAAUUAUGAAAAGUUUUUUCCGUAUUUAAAAUGAAAUGUACCUUCAGAACAUUCAUCGUUAGUUGUUAGGAAAACCAAAAUGCCCAUGUCACUGUUUGGCCCAGAACGUAGAGGUGAUAAAGCUGGCUGUGAGGAGAGCCCUUUCGGCUGCUUGGCCUUUGAGACUGUGUCUUGCAGUGUUGCCCGGCCUGGCAGGGACCUCCUGGGCUCUAGCACUCUUCCCGCCUCUGCUUCAAGCAGCUGGGACUACAGAUGUGCGGCAGUACACUGGGCUUCUUCCUCUUUUGGGAAGUUUUCACUGUCUAUUUGGAAGUAUUGCUUUUAAUUGAAUCAAACUUUAAAAACAGCAAGGUUUCCCAACAAUAACCUGUUUCUUUCUGGCAGCUGAUAAGCACAACAGUCAAGUUAUGUAUUUGGAAAGUGUUGCCCUAAAACUAAUCUAGUAAAUGAUUUAAGCAACAGACCAAAAUCACUAGAAAGUGUCUUCGGGGCUGCGCUUUAACAGUGCAGUUGGGAGGAGCCAAGACUGGCUGUGUACGCACAGGCACCCUCGGAAUGGCUUUCCAGCACAGGGAGGGAGAGCAGGUCCAUUACCAGGGCACUUGGGGCUUCACGGGUAGACACUCUCAUAGUUCCCUCUUAUUUACUGUAAGAGGCUAUUUUUUGGUUAAUAAAUGCUUGACAGGGUAUUUCUUUAAGAAGCCAAUUGAGAAUAUUUUCAAGCUAUUAACCAAAUAAAAAUGAAAAAUUUGCAAGGUACACAGAAACCAAUAGUAAGUGACAAUGUUUUAUUGUUUUGCCAGGCUCUCUUCAGAGUAAGCUACUUAUUACACAAUACAAAAAUAAUGGCUUCCUAUAUAAAAUGAACCACUCUAAUUCUAAGUAAGUUAAAUGACACAUUUAAAUGUGCUUCAUAAUAACUCUAUUUAUCCUUUCCCACUGUGGUGACGAUCCCACCGUCUCUGUCCAUAAAGACUCACAGGGAGGACUUUCCAUGGCCUGCUCUGCUCUGGAGAGGCAAGGAGGCUCUGUCUGGGCAUGCUCUGGGUUUGUAGCUGUUUCCUCACUUAUUACGUCUCUGGGUUUCUAGACCAACCCUUCGUGGACAUUACGGGCAAUUAUGCACAGAGGGCAGGAAAGGAGCCUCGGAGGCUCUGGAAGCAUCUCAGUGGGAUGAUGCGCUCACUUCCUCUUUGGUCAUCAAAGACUGGGAAGAAUAAAAUAAUCAGUGUGGCUGUCAAUCUUACCUGACACCAGUAACAGGUGAAUGCAGAAUUUACAUGAAAGAUCAGAUUGAAAAAAGGCAUCUAGCACUCUAGUAUAUUUACCUGUGGCUUUAAAAUAAUACUCAAAAUAUAUAAAUACAUAUAUAAAUGAAAAGCUAAAAACUAACAUGUUUACACAUUAAAUGAACAGAUAUCUCAAAUACCAAACACAAUUUUCAAUUUAGCCCCAAAUUUCAACUUCCAAGAUUUUCAUUUUAUAAUUUAAAUUUGAAAGAACUGUUUUAUGCUUCUCCUUGAAGAGAAAUAUUUAUUACACUGAAAUAACUACUGGUUUUGGUUGUAAUGAAACUAAUUCAACUUAAGUUAUGUGAAUGAAAAUAGUAUUUUAAUUAGGAGCAAACUUAAAGGCAGUUUGUCUAUAAACACUGAAAUGUUAUAAAAGAUUUUAUGAGAAGUGUGCCAUUUUGACAUAUGGCAGAAAGAACAUUAGCUGUAAUGUAUAUCCUGAAGCAUCAGGAGUACAGAUAACCCUGGGAAUCCUUAUGGACAAGUGUAGGAAACUGAUUACAACUGUACUUUAACUCUCAUAGGUGUAAAUGAAAAAGACAGCAAUGCAUCUAACUAUCUAAUGCAUAAAUAACCCUGACCAGACUUUUAUGAAAAGUUAACAAAACCCUUUUUCACUAUCAAACUUCUAUUUUAUAGACUAGAAUGUAUAAAUUUUAAAUUAGCAUAUACCUUAUUAGGGAUGAUCAAACUAAAAACCAAACUACAAACUCCCAAAAGGCCAAACCAAGUGAGAACAAUGUUGAUUGUGUUCAGUGCUGGUUGUGUUGCCCUCUUGCAAAAUGACAGGCAAAAUCGUACUUGUCUUUACAUUUGCACCCACAUACGUUACACUGAAAGGGGCUGUCAUACCCAUGGCACCCCAUGUGGACAGUGUAAAGGACGUUGUCUGCAAAGUACACGUCACAGUGCUGGCAGUGGUGUAGAAGCUGAGGAUCCUGCACCGGCAGGGUUGGAGCUGGAGUGCUUGGCUGGCUGUUUCCUAUGCUGGGAGUACUGGUGUGGGCACUUGGUUCACUGCUGGGCCCUGCCACUGGACUGUAGUUCCUCUGACUAUGCGAUGGCCGCGGUUCCGGACUUGUGGGGGAGGAGCUCUGAGGAAUACUUGCUGACACAGCAGAGACAACUGCUUGGGCAGAGGGUUGCUGAAUCAUGAAAGGCUUUUCAUCAGGGCAGGCAUCUACAUCAGGAGAGGCAGGGUUUUGGUUUUCUGGUGGCAAGCUGGACAACUGUCCUGCUAAAGUAGAGAGCUGAUUCAAAGGGUUGUCAACCAUGAGUUCUUGGGGGUCCCUUGGCAGGCCACCAGUUGGUGUAGUUUUAGCCAUAGCUUCAUAGGAGUCAGUCUGAAUAUUUGGGAUUUCGUGUGUAAAAUCAUUAAGGUAGUCUGGUUUCUGGACCACCAUGGAAGGUGGACUUAAGUUGAUUAGUGCUCUUCUGCUAUACCCCAGAUUGCUUGUUUUCUUUUGUAAAACCCCCCACAUUUUCUUGCUGCUUAAGGAAGACCUGGUACCUUUAAUUGGUACCAUUUUAUGUUUGCGCCUUCGAUGGUGGGACAGGUUACUUCGGUCACUGCAGCGGAAGGAGCACAAUUCACAUUUGUAUGGUUUUUCCCCAGUGUGAGAGCGCAUAUGGGCUUCCAGGUGGCGCUCGUAAGCAGAUGCAAAUGGACAUAAGUGACACCUGUGAGGCUUCUCGCCUGUGUGAGAGAGACAUGGAAGAGACUGCAAGAGGAGCUCACUCAUAGGACUUUUCAUGUUUGUCCACUGCAUGUGAGAACUGAUACAAAAAUAAAAUUCUUUGCAGAAAUGCAUACUUGUAUACUAGGUUUGUAAGAUCUGUAAAGAAACCCAAGAACUGAAAUAAAGCUUAAGAAUUCAUUAGC
RNAcentral lists this long non-coding RNA (3578 nucleotides) under Mus musculus (house mouse). Its description in RNAcentral is "long non-coding RNA chr7:131389188-131392766". The record is from RNAcentral. Lineage: Eukaryota; Metazoa; Chordata; Mammalia; Rodentia; Muridae.